Molecule: ribosomal RNA, 1372 nt
Filed under: uncultured bacterium
Lineage: Bacteria
Description: bacterial SSU rRNA
Rfam family: Bacterial small subunit ribosomal RNA
Source: RNAcentral
GAUGAACGCUGGCGGCGUGCCUAAUACAUGCAAGUCGAGCGAACGGACGAGAAGCUUGCUUCUCUGAUGUUAGCGGCGGACGGGUGAGUAACACGUGGAUAACCUACCUAUAAGACUGGGAUAACUUCGGGAAACCGGAGCUAAUACCGGAUAAUAUUUUGAACCGCAUGGUUCAAAAGUGAAAGACGGUCUUGCUGUCACUUAUAGAUGGAUCCGCGCUGCAUUAGCUAGUUGGUAAGGUAACGGCUUACCAAGGCAACGAUGCAUAGCCGACCUGAGAGGGUGAUCGGCCACACUGGAACUGAGACACGGUCCAGACUCCUACGGGAGGCAGCAGUAGGGAAUCUUCCGCAAUGGGCGAAAGCCUGACGGAGCAACGCCGCGUGAGUGAUGAAGGUCUUCGGAUCGUAAAACUCUGUUAUUAGGGAAGAACAUAUGUGUAAGUAACUGUGCACAUCUUGACGGUACCUAAUCAGAAAGCCACGGCUAACUACGUGCCAGCAGCCGCGGUAAUACGUAGGUGGCAAGCGUUAUCCGGAAUUAUUGGGCGUAAAGCGCGCGUAGGCGGUUUUUUAAGUCUGAUGUGAAAGCCCACGGCUCAACCGUGGAGGGUCAUUGGAAACUGGAAAACUUGAGUGCAGAAGAGGAAAGUGGAAUUCCAUGUGUAGCGGUGAAAUGCGCAGAGAUAUGGAGGAACACCAGUGGCGAAGGCGACUUUCUGGUCUGUAACUGACGCUGAUGUGCGAAAGCGUGGGGAUCAAACAGGAUUAGAUACCCUGGUAGUCCACGCCGUAAACGAUGAGUGCUAAGUGUUAGGGGGUUUCCGCCCCUUAGUGCUGCAGCUAACGCAUUAAGCACUCCGCCUGGGGAGUACGACCGCAAGGUUGAAACUCAAAGGAAUUGACGGGGACCCGCACAAGCGGUGGAGCAUGUGGUUUAAUUCGAAGCAACGCGAAGAACCUUACCAAAUCUUGACAUCCCUUGACAACUCUAGAGAUAGAGCCUUCCCCUUCGGGGGACAAAGUGACAGGUGGUGCAUGGUUGUCGUCAGCUCGUGUCGUGAGAUGUUGGGUUAAGUCCCGCAACGAGCGCAACCCUUAAGCUUAGUUGCCAUCAUUAAGUUGGGCACUCUAAGUUGACUGCCGGUGACAAACCGGAGGAAGGUGGGGAUGACGUCAAAUCAUCAUGCCCCUUAUGAUUUGGGCUACACACGUGCUACAAUGGACAAUACAAAGGGCAGCGAAACCGCGAGGUCAAGCAAAUCCCAUAAAGUUGUUCUCAGUUCGGAUUGUAGUCUGCAACUCGACUACAUGAAGCUGGAAUCGCUAGUAAUCGUAGAUCAGCAUGCUACGGUGAAUACGUUCCCGGGUCU